This 484-nucleotide ribosomal RNA is filed under the name uncultured bacterium. Its description in RNAcentral is "partial 16S ribosomal RNA". It matches the Rfam family "Bacterial small subunit ribosomal RNA", at positions 29 to 507 of the family's 1533-position model. The record is from RNAcentral.
AUUGAACGCUGGCGGCAUGCUUUACACAUGCAAGUCGAACGGCAGCGCGGGCUUCGGCCUGGCGGCGAGUGGCGAACGGGUGAGUAAUACAUCGGAACGUGCCCAGUAGUGGGGGAUAGCUCGGCGAAAGCCGGAUUAAUACCGCAUACGACCUGAGGGUGAAAGCGGGGGAUCUUCGGACCUCGCGCUAUUGGAGCGGCCGAUGGCCGAUUAGCUAGUUGGUGGGGUAAAGGCCUACCAAGGCGACGAUCUGUAGCUGGUCUGAGAGGACGACCAGCCACACGAGGACUGAGACACGGCCCAUACUCCUACGGGAGGCAGCAGUGGGGAAUUUUGGACAAUGGGCGAAAGCCUGAUCCAGCAAUGCCGCGUGUGUGAUGAAGGCCUUCGGGUUGUAAAGCACUUUUGGCGGGAACGAAAAGGACUGUGCCAAUACCACGGUUCGAUGACGGUACCCGCAGAAUAAGCACCGGCUAACUACGUG